AGAGAGUUCAGUGUAGAAGAGUUGUGUUUUCAAAUGCAGAAAAUAGUUGUGUAAGCAUGUAUGGAAGUAUUGAAUUGGAAGUGUGCUCAAAGUGUAGAAAGGCAGUCCAUUUUAUAGUAUAUGGAACAAGUAAAAGAAGGUAAGAAAAUAAUUUUAAAAUUCAAUGACAAAAGGGACUUGCAAUCAAUCACACGCUGGCCAAAUGCCUUUUGAAAGAGGAGAAUUUGUCAAAUAAAAAUCAUACAGACAUGCAUCGUAUAGAAAAGAUUGAGGGUCAUAGCAAAAGGUCGAGUCCAAUUCAUAGACUCUGAAUGAGUUCAAGAGAGAACCUAGGGUUCUGAAAUAGAACACUAGUUUGAACACCAGCUCAACUUGUCAAAGACCCUAAACCCUAGGGUUUCUAACGGAGAGGAGGAGGUGAGCCAUUGAAAUGGACUCAGAGGUCCCUUUCAGAGAAUUGCGCGAAAAUAAACAUAGAGAACAGUAGGAGACACAUACAAUAGAAAUCAUUAGGAAAAUAAGGCAGAGACAGUCAUGCGAACUCGGUCUAAAGGCAGAGGAAAAUAUAAAGCAUAGAAAAAGAAACAAAAAUCAAGUUCAUGCAUAGUAGAGAAGAAACACACAAGAUAAACACAGAUGAAACACUAACAAAGAAAAGAAAAUAGAAGACGAAAAAGAAUGUUUUCCAGAACCCUAGUUUUGAAAAUCGAAUAAUUUCAAAAAAGGGAAAAUUGGGGAAAACCCUUAAAUAUCGAAUAUACAACAGAUAUAGCAUAGAUCUAAGAGAAAAAAAAUAGAAAAACCUCGAAUAGCUUUAGGUUUCUCUUAAACCCUAGAAAUGAGAAGGAUUGGAAAGGGCCUGGUCUGGAGUCCAUAUGAGCCACAGCUAGGCUCUUAAGGCUCGAAUACGUCAGAACGGGGUCAGAGAGGUCAUAGAACCUCAUAUCUCUGGAGGAUCUGCUCAAACAUCCUCGUGGUCAGACCUAAAAAUCUCGAACAAUCAUGGCUUAGAGUGAAAGGGUGAGAACAGGCUCUCUAUGACCUGAGAAGCCAUGGACGCCGGUGAGAUUAGUCGGAAAAGACGAAGGAGACGAUUAGGUUUUUCUGAGUGUUUGAGAGCAUUUGAGAGAGUGAGAGAGUUUGAGGGCGGUGGUCGAAGUGAAAAUGAGAGUUAGGGCUAGGUAAUUUGGAAAGGGCCUAGUCUAAAGUCGAUCUGAGCACAGCUAGGCUCUUAAGGCUUGAGUACGUCGGAACGGGGUUGGAGAGGUCAUAAAACCUCAUAUCUAUGGAGGAUCUGCUCGAACACCCUCGAGGUCGGACCUUGAAAUCUCGAACAAACAUGGCUUAGGAGUGAAGGGGUGAGCACUGGUUGUCGAGGGCCUGAGAAGCCAUGGACUCCGGUGAGAUUGGUCAGAAAAGACGAAGGAGACGAUUAGGUUUUUUAGAGUGUUUGAAAGCGUUUGAGAAAGUGAGAGAGUUUGAGGGCGGGGGUCAAAGAGAAAAUGAG
This 1507-nucleotide long non-coding RNA is filed under the name Nicotiana benthamiana. RNAcentral's name for it is "long non-coding RNA (NBEN_LNC033853)". The record is from RNAcentral. Lineage: Eukaryota; Viridiplantae; Streptophyta; Magnoliopsida; Solanales; Solanaceae.